RNAcentral lists this ribosomal RNA (393 nucleotides) under uncultured bacterium. RNAcentral describes it as "partial 16S ribosomal RNA". It matches the Rfam family "Bacterial small subunit ribosomal RNA", at positions 523 to 918 of the family's 1533-position model. The record is from RNAcentral.
AUACGGAGGGUGCAAGCGUUAUCCGGAUUCACUGGGUUUAAAGGGUGCGUAGGCGGGUAGGUAAGUCAGUGGUGAAAUCCUGGAGCUCAACUCCAGAACUGCCAUUGAUACUAUCUAUCUUGAAUAUUGUGGAGGUAAGCGGAAUAUGUCAUGUAGCGGUGAAAUGCUUAGAUAUGACAUAGAACACCCAUUGCGAAGGCAGCUCACUACGCAUAUAUUGACGCUGAGGCACGAAAGCGUGGGGAUCAAACAGGAUUAGAUACCCUGGUAGUCCACGCCCUAAACUAUGGAUACUCGACAUAUGCGAUACACUGUAUGUGUCUGAGCGAAAGCAUUAAGUAUCCCACCUGGGAAGUACGUUCGCAAGAAUGAAACUCAAAUGAAUUGGCGGGG